This 400-nucleotide ribosomal RNA is filed under the name uncultured bacterium. RNAcentral describes it as "bacterial SSU rRNA". It matches the Rfam family "Bacterial small subunit ribosomal RNA", at positions 356 to 773 of the family's 1533-position model. The record is from RNAcentral.
GGGGAAUAUUGGACAAUGGGCGCAAGCCUGAUCCAGCCAUGCCGCGUGAGUGACGAAGGUCUUCGGAUUGUAAAGCUCUUUUGGCGGGGAAGAUAAUGACGGUACCCGCAGAAUAAGCCCCGGCUAACUUCGUGCCAGCAGCCGCGGUAAUACGAAGGGGGCUAGCGUUGUUCGGAAUUACUGGGCGUAAAGCGCACGUAGGCGGACUUAUAAGUCAGGGGUGAAAUCCCGGGGCUCAACCUCGGAACUGCCUUUGAUACUGUAAGUCUCGAGACCGGAAGAGGUGAGUGGAAUUCCUAGUGUAGAGGUGAAAUUCGUAGAUAUUAGGAAGAACACCAGUGGCGAAGGCGGCUCACUGGUCCGGAUCUGACGCUGAGGUGCGAAAGCGUGGGGAGCAAAC